RNAcentral lists this signal recognition particle RNA (299 nucleotides) under Aotus nancymaae (Ma's night monkey). RNAcentral's name for it is "Metazoan signal recognition particle RNA (ENSANAG00000002858.1)". It matches the Rfam family "Metazoan signal recognition particle RNA". From Rfam's summary of the family: The signal recognition particle (SRP) is a universally conserved ribonucleoprotein. It is involved in the co-translational targeting of proteins to membranes. The record is from RNAcentral. Lineage: Eukaryota; Metazoa; Chordata; Mammalia; Primates; Aotidae.
GCCGGGCGCGGUAGCUCAUGCCUGUAGUCCCAGCUACUCAGGAGGCUGAGACUGGAGGAUCUCUUGAGCCCAGGAGUUCUGGGCUGUAGUGUGCUAUGCCAAUCUGGUGUCUGCACUAAGUUUGGCAUCAAUAUGGUGACCUCCCAGGAUUGGGGGACCACCAGGUUGCCUAAGGAGGGGUGAACCGGCCCAGGUCAGAAACGGAGCAGGUCAAAACUCCCGUGCUGAUCAGUAGUGGGAUUGUGCCUGUGAACAGCCACUGCACUCCAGCCUGGACAACAUAGCGAGACCCUGUCUCU